This is a long non-coding RNA of Passer domesticus (house sparrow), 1342 nucleotides long. RefSeq lists it as uncharacterized. NCBI's taxonomy places the organism in Eukaryota, Metazoa, Chordata, Aves, Passeriformes, Passeridae. The transcript has 5 exons. The record is from RefSeq and is a predicted model, not a curated record.
ACUGCUGCCCCUGUGGUCAGUGUCCAGCUGGACAGGGAGAGAAGAGGAUAGUUUGGGAAUACAGAGCUGGCCAGGAGCCUCUACACACAAGCUCGAGAGUUUCCCUGCUUCUUCAGCAGCCCCGUGGUGCUGAGGAUUUUCCCAAACGAUUCUUAUUUCCCCUUUCUCCGCUACCAGACUUUUCUUUUCUACCAAAUCAUGGAGAGGAGAGCCCCGAGCCAGCCCAGGGUGGCCUGGGAGGAGGACGGGGGUCCCCAGGAAAGCAGCUCCCCAGUGGAGCCCUACGAGGUGACAAUGGUGCAGCCCCUGCAGACGGCAACCAACCAAUGAAGCAACACGUGAGACAUGAAUCUCUCCAUCCCAUAGAAGAGAAAUGCACUACAGUUUGUCAGCAGCUGUUCUCAUUCAGAUUGGCUGAAAGGAAGGAAGAAGGAAGAAAGUGCAGGGAGACACUGUGGUUUUAUGGCUUGGAUUUACAAACCAUCCUGAGCAAAGCCAGAAAUUACACUUCUGCUCACAGAUGUGUAUUCAUCAAAGGCUGCACCAGAAGAUUUUCUAUCCAAAUUAGAUUAUUUACUGGGGAGCCACCGGGAACCCCGGAGCCAAGGGCACCCCCGGCCCCCAAGGCCCCGGCGGCUUCCCCGGCCCCAAGGGACCCCCCGGCCCCUCUGGCAAGGACGGGAUCCCCGGGCACUCCGGGCAGAGAGGAGACGCCGUGAGUGACCCAAAAAGGCCAAAAUUCACCCCAAAAAUCCCCAAAUCUGCCCCAAAAUCCUCCCCAAAAUUCCCUCAAAAUCCCCUAAAAUUCUCCCCAAAAUCUUCCCAAAAUUCUCCCCAAAAAUCCCCACAAAAUCCUUUCAGAAUCCCUCCCCAAAAUCCCAAAAAUCCUCCCCAAAAUCCCUGAAAAAUCCCCCCAAAAAUCCUUCCCAAAAUCCUCCCAAUUCCCCCAAAAUCCUCCCCCAAAAUCCCCCCAAAAAUCCUCCCCAAAAACCCCAAAAAUCCUCCAAAAUCACCCAAAAAUCCUCCAAAAUCACCCCAAAAAUCCUUCCCAAAAUCCUCCAAAAUGCCCCCAAAAUCCUCCUCCAAAUCCUCCCAAAAAAUCUUCCCAAAAUCUUCCCCAAAUUCCCCAAAACCCUCCCAAAAUCCUCCCAAAAUCCUCCCAAAAUCCUCCCAAAAAUCCUCCCAAAAUCCCAAAAAUUCUCCCCAAAAUCCUCCCCAAAAUCUUCUCAAAAUCCCCCCAAAUUCCCUUGAAAAUCCCCCAAAAAUCCACCAAAAUUCCCCAAAAUUCCCUCAAAAUUCUCUCCAAAUUCCCCCCAAAAUCCCACAAAUCUUCCCCAAAAUC